RNAcentral lists this ribosomal RNA (253 nucleotides) under uncultured bacterium. RNAcentral describes it as "partial 16S ribosomal RNA". It matches the Rfam family "Bacterial small subunit ribosomal RNA", at positions 524 to 776 of the family's 1533-position model. The record is from RNAcentral.
UACGAAGGGGGCUAGCGUUGCUCGGAAUCACUGGGCGUAAAGCGCACGUAGGCGGAUUGUUAAGUCAGGGGUGAAAUCCUGGAGCUCAACUCCAGAACUGCCUUUGAUACUGGCGAUCUUGAGUCCGGGAGAGGUGAGUGGAACUGCGAGUGUAGAGGUGAAAUUCGUAGAUAUUCGGAAGAACACCAGUGGCGAAGGCGGCUCACUGGACAUGUAUUGACGCUGAGGUGCGAAAGCGUGGGGAGCAAACAGG